Molecule: ribosomal RNA, 477 nt
Filed under: uncultured organism
Description: partial 16S ribosomal RNA
Rfam family: Bacterial small subunit ribosomal RNA
Source: RNAcentral
GUACACUCCUGCGGGAGGCAGCAGUGGGGAAUUUUGGACAAUGGGGGCAACCCUGAUCCAGCAAUGCCGCGUGAGUGAAGAAGGCCUUCGGGUUGUAAAGCUCUUUUGUCAGGGAAGAAACGGUGGUGGCGAAUAACUACUACUAAUGACGGUACCUGAAGAAUAAGCACCGGCUAACUACGUGCCAGCAGCCGCGGUAAUACGUAGGGUGCAAGCGUUAAUCGGAAUUACUGGGCGUAAAGCGUGCGCAGGCGGUUGUGUAAGUCAGAUGUGAAAUCCCCGGGCUCAACCUGGGAAUUGCAUUUGAGACUGCACGGCUAGAGUGUGUCAGAGGGGGGUAGAAUUCCACGUGUAGCAGUGAAAUGCGUAGAUAUGUGGAGGAAUACCGAUGGCGAAGGCAGCCCCCUGGGAUAACACUGACGCUCAUGCACGAAAGCGUGGGGAGCAAACAGGAUUAGAAACCCCGGUAGUCCCAUG